Poecile atricapillus (Black-capped chickadee) is the source of this 5573-nucleotide long non-coding RNA. RefSeq lists it as uncharacterized. The transcript is spliced from 7 exons. Lineage: Eukaryota; Metazoa; Chordata; Aves; Passeriformes; Paridae. The record is from RefSeq and is a predicted model, not a curated record.
UAUGUAUGUAUAUGUAUAUAUUUUCCCCAUAUUUUUGGUUAGAAAAUCCAGUUUAAAAUGGAAGUUGUGGAAAAGUCAGUUUAAAAUAGUUGUUGGGGGGUUCUUUUGCCAUAUUUUUGGCGGGAAAACCCAGUCUAAAGUGGAAAUUGCAGAAAAAACAGUUUAAAAUAUAUUUUUUUUCCCCCAUAUUUUUGGUGAGAAAAUCCAGUUUAAAAUGGAAAUUGCUGGAACAUGUCUUUUAAAAUAGAAAUUUUGAGAAGGGAAAAGCCUGUUUAAAGUCGUUUUGGUGGGGUUUUUUUUUUUGCAGAAAAUAAAAUCAUAUUUAGAAUGGAUUUUUCUUUCAUUGUUUUGGUGGGAAAAUACAUUUUAAAGUGGAAAUCAUGGAAAAAAGCCAGUUCAAGAUGGAAAUGUUUCCCUUAUUUUUUGGUGGAAAAAAUACAGUUCAAAACAUAUAUGUUGGGGUUCUUUUAAUAUUUUUUCUAAGAUGCAGCACAAAAGGGAAUUUCCCCCCCUUUUUUUUUGUGGGAGAACCACAAAAGGAGGCUUAAAAUUUACUUUUUUCCCCCCAUUUUUGUGGAAAGAUCCAUUUAAAAUUUUAUUUCCCCCCAUUUUCUGUGGAAUUCACAAUUCACCUCUCGCUGUCCCGAGGCUGUCAUUGGGACUUAAGGAUAUGAAAGGCCUUUUCCAAUGAAAACAAUUCCAUGCUUUAGGGAGCUGAAAAACACAGAAGGAUUUAAAACACAGAGGGGAAAGGAGUUGAGGGAAAUAAUAAAAAUUGCUGUAAAUCUGUGGGGUUUUUUGAGUCUUGAGGCAGAACUUGAUUCCCUGAAGCUGUCGGAUUUGUUUUUCCUUAGGAAUGACGUGGAAAACACAACGGGAACAGGCAUGAGAAGAGUCCCCAGAAGUUAUUUAUGAGCAGCCUGGAAAGCAAAAUAUUUUCAGAUUAAAAAGGAAAAUGGCAUCCACUGCUUUCCCUGAGGUGUGUCCUUGCAGCAGAGAUUUGUCAGGAGCCUGCACUGAGCUGUCUUUGUGCGGCUCAUGGAGAACCAGGAUGGUUUUCCCCUGCAUCCAUGGGGAAUUUUGGUGCAAAAGUGGGUUUGUUUUAAGUGGCCUGGGCCAGGCUCUUCCUUCCAUGGCUUCUCUGGAGCCGACCAAAACCAAGGUUGAAUUUGGGGGUGGUUCCUGUAGUGUUAGAGAUUGUAGUCCCCAAAAUCCGUCAUUGCUCUGGAGAGCUGCUGCUGGGGGGGAUUUUGGAUUCCUGCAGCGUCUCCCAGUGCCUGUCAGGGCUCUACAAACACAGAUUUCUGGUCUUUCAUUCAAGUAUUCCCUCUCUCCAGUUUAGAUCCUUACAUGCAGUCCCUUUGCAGGCACUCCUCAGACAUUUCCAGCUUGUUUUCACUUCUUACUUUCAAAUAUAUUUAUAUAAACGUGGAUAUAGUUUGGUCACGGAAUGAUUUGGGAGCUCCAAACAUCUCUCAUACAAUUAACGGGGAGACAAAGAUCAGACUAAGGAAGGUGAAAACGAGCUGGGAGCUCGCUGGUUGUGCCCUCCCAUCCCCACAUCUUCCAUGAAGCUGAUUUUCACACCAGAGAGGAUUUUUUUUCAGUCAGUUUUUAAGACAGGCGUUGCCUGACUCCAGUCGGGCUCAUUUCCAUCUUGGUGGCUGCUGGAGUACCUGAUAAUCCCAGUCCUGGAGUGUGAGAAAUGAAUCUUACUCUUUAAAAUUUUAAAAGUUUCAUAAGGGAUAAAAAAGGACUUUUACAGCGCUGGGUGCAUAUCCAGAGCUAGAGGCACUCUGGUUAACUGUAACUCUUCUUAUAUACAUUUUAUUGCAUUGAUUAAAUGUAUAUUAAUGAAGAUUAUACAUAUUCAAACUUUUUUUUUGAGUUCUUUUAUGUGUUUCUGGGAAUUCUUUAGCUUGGUUUGGCUCCUGACCUGUCGUGGAAAAGUGUAAUUUGAUUUUUGAGAGUCGCUAUUUCUUCACAACAACGAAAAUGGUCGGUGGCAGAAGCCUUCACAUCUUCUUUUUCAAUGUUAUUUGUGUGGUUCUUUUAGUGUUGUCUAAUCAUACAGAUUUUUUUAACUGUAAUAGUUUUAACUAUUUCCACAAAUUUGAGUUCUUCUCACUAUUAUCAGCUACAAAAGCAAAGGCAUCAGCUACUUCUGCAAAAAGUUACAACGCACAACACAUAGUUUCUAUUUAAUAUUUUGCAAAAGCCUAAACUAUAAUAUAUGUUCAUCACACAAAUAUAUAUAUAUAUAUGAGCUACACAGGGCCAGGACUUUGGCCACAAAAGCUGACAAAUUAUACUGUAUUAAAACCAGUGAAUAUAUUUAAUAUACCCAGACUGUUUUACCCUUUAUCCAACACACCAGAAUCACUGAGUUUUCCCAGUUUCCUCACACCCCUUUCUGUGGCCUUUAGCCCAAAUUCCUGAGGGAAUUUGAAUGCUGAUUUCCUGUGUGAGGAGCUUACAUUUCUGCAGCCAGGCUAAGGUUUAAUUUGCUUUCUCAGCAAGAUCUCAAAUCAAAGAUUGAUCAGAGAUUGAUCAGAGAUUGAUCUCACCGAUAAUCCUGUACCUGAACAAGAUAUUCACACUGCUCUAAGCCCCUGCACACGUUUCUGCAGAGGAAUCCCACCCUGAGCUGCCCUCGCUGUGCUGAUCCAGGUGGCUGAUCCCAGCACUGAUGCAGAUGUUCAGAUUUGGGGAAGAUCCAAAGUUUGAGAAGGAAAACUGCAGAUCAAUGGGUUCAGGUGAGCUCAUGUGAAUUCCAUGGGAAUUGGAAAAGUCCUGGAGCCACCUGAGAGCUGGAGGAGCCUGGGACGUGCCAAUGGACACCGGGGAAAUCACCAGUGUGAAUCCCAGAUAUCUCCUUCCAUCUCCUCAAUCUUCUUGGUGCCACUGGGUUUUAGAUCCUCUGAUAAUGGGUGAAAUAAAUCCUUCUCUUGGAGAUCUUGGAGGAAAAGAUAAUUUUAAGAAUGCAGUUGGAUCCCAGCAUGAGCAGCUCAGCUUUUUGCUAUAAAAGUGCAAAGCAAGGUGAGAUAAUCCACAUUUAAAGCCUCUUUUGGGUGUGUUGGCCACGUCAGCACCGAGGAAACUCCAGCAAACCCCAACUGCAAUAAUUACUGAAGUUUUCCUUUAGAAAUUCUCCAUAGGAACCUCUUUGUUAUGGAGAUACCUUUCAAGAGGAAAAGAGUUCUCAGCUCUCCAUCCUCCCCUGGAGCUGGGAGGGAACAGCCAGGGCAGCUCCUCAAAUGAGAACUGGGACAAAAGGAUCCCUUCCCAAGCCUUUCUUCCACAUCUGAAAAUUUCCUGUGAAAUCCCUGUGAAAUCCAGAAAUAAUGGGGAAGGAGAAACCCCUGCAACCCAGAAAUGCUGGCUGGAGGGAAGGGAAAGGACAGGAAGCAGCGUGAAACACCCUCAUUCCAAAUGGGGAUUCUUUCAUGGUUUGAGGCUGUUGAGAUGGGAAGGCCCUAAAAGAAGCAGAACUUCUGAAUUCCCUGAAUAUUCCCAGCACUUUUAAGCAAAUCCCGCCAUUUGAAAUCCAAAAUUUGCUUUAGAGAUGUCUUUAUUAACCACCAAGGAGAUGGAAUUACACACAAAAAUAUGGAAUUACACACAAAACUCAGCUGAGAGCUGGAGAUGCUGAACACAGAGGUUGCAAGAGCUGUCUGGCUCCAGAAAGGUGAUGACUGGAGGAAAUAGCUGCGAGCUGCUGUGACCAGAGACUUCCUGGUGGGUGCUGGGGGAGGGAGAACACGAGAGAGGGAUGAGGAGGAGAUGUAGGUGCACAGCUCGGAACAAACCGGAGCUGCAAACCACAUCCUGCAGCAUCUGAGUGGGGCAGAUGUUCUCAUUUUCCUGAGAACACGGCGCUGGGUUCAUUAUUGGACUUGGUGAUAUUUUCCAUCAUGGUGAUUCUCCUGGGAACACAGUGCAGGGGUCAUGGGUGGGCUUGGUGAUCUUUUCCAGCUCCAAGUUUUCCAUCCCAUGGUUAUUUUCUUGAGAGCACAGUGCUGGGCUGAUGAUUGGACUUGGUGAUCUUUUCAUCCUGUGAUUAUUUUCCUGAGAACACCGUGCUGGGGUCAUGGUUGGACUUUGGGUUGAUGGUUGGACUUGGUGAUCUUUUCCAGCUCCAAGUUUUCCAUCCUGUGGUGAUUUUCCUGAGAACACAGUGCUGGGUUCAUUAUUUGAUUUGGUGAUCUUUUCCAUCCCAUGGUUAUUUUCCUGGGAACACAGUGCUGGAGUCAUGGUUGGACUUCAGGUUGAUGGCUGGACUUGGUGAUCUUUUUCAGCUCCAAGUUUUCCAUCCUGUGGUGAUUUUCCUGGAACACAGUGCUGGGUUGAUAGCAGAACUUGGUGAUAUUUUCCAGCUCUGGGCUUUUCCAUCCUGUGAUUUUCCUGAGAACACGGUGCUGGGUUGAUGGCAGGACUUGUUGACUUUUUCCAGCUCCAAGUUUUCCAUCCCAUGGUUAUUUUCUUGAGAGCACAGUGCUGGGCUGAUGAUUGGACUUGGUGAUCUUUUCAUCCUGUGGUUAUUUUCCUGGGAACAUGGUACUGGGUUGAUGGCUGGACUUGGUGACCUUUUCCAUCCUGUGAUUAUUUUCCUGAGAACAUGGUGCUGGGUUCAUGGUUGGAUUUGGUGAUCUUUUCCAUCCCAUGGUUAUUUUCCUGAGAACACAGUGCUGGGUUCAUGGUUGGAUUUGGUGGUCUUUUCCAGCUCCAAGUUUUUCCAUCCCGUGGUGAUUUUCUUGACACGUUGUGAGAGACUGGUUUGUGGCUUAGACAUUGCUAAAAUCAUCAAAGGGCUUUAGCCCACUGUGGCAAACUGGAAUUGCUGUCCAGCUGUGACCACCAGAGCCAUCCCUCCCCAAACACCCCCAAGUGAAAUGCUGGAUUUUGAAGCUGGGAUAAGACAAAGGUGGUACUUUCAUCCAAUUAUCCCGGGUCUGGGAAGAAGAACCGGAUAUUGGAAGAGAGACUGAUGUUGCCAGCUCAAACAAUCAAGAGCGAGUUAUGAUGUGCCAAGGCCACAAACUGAUAAGGGAGUCUUUAUCAAGGGCACUGCCUCUUUGUCCCUGCUCCAGGGAACUCUGCUGGGAUAAUUCCCAUGCCCUGGAAUAUCGGGAUAUUCACAGCUAGCCCCCAGGCGUUCACCUCGGCCAUAAAGGGCCAUCAUGGGUCACAGGGACUGAACUGUGCCGAUACAAAAGGCAGCUGCAUCAUCUCUGAAGGUGUCAAAGAGGCCCGAAGUGUCCCACAGGAUUCCAUCAUUCAGGGUGAUGGAACUCCCCGCUCCAGGGGAGGCACCUGGAGUGAAUACAAACCCAGAUUUUCGUGUUCUGUGCAUUUCUCCCGCCACCUCUUCAGGAUUUCCCCUCAUCCCCAGGUGGAUCCACUCUGUGACCACCAGUUGGACCAACAGACAGUGAGAUUGCAACAACCAAUUCUCACCACGAGACCUGUGGGUGGCAAGAUCUUUCUCCUCUUAUCCUUUCCUUCUCUUUUCCUUGUAUCACAUUUUCUUAAGUGCUACUUUUAUGCUUUCAUGUUGUCAUGUUACUGUAGAU